RNAcentral lists this unclassified non-coding RNA (400 nucleotides) under uncultured fungus. RNAcentral's name for it is "sequence contains ITS1". The stretch from base 1 to 105 matches the Rfam family "5.8S ribosomal RNA", at positions 50 to 154 of the family's 154-position model. Lineage: Eukaryota; Fungi. The record is from RNAcentral.
GAAAUGCGAUACGUAGUGUGAAUUGCAGAAUUCCGUGAAUCAUCGAAUCUUUGAACGCAUAUUGCGCUCGAGGCUUCGGCCGAGAGCAUGUCUGCCUCAGCGUCGGGUUAAUAUCACUCCCCUUUUACCCCUCUGUGGUGUAAUCGGUUGGCGAGUGGACCUGGCUGUUCCAGCUGUUACAACAACCACAACCAGCCCGUAAUACGGCUUGGGGGUGGUUGCUGUAGCUCACCGCGGCUGGAUCGGCUGAAGUGUAGAGGAUAACCGUGGACCCGCUAAGGGCCGCAACUGGGUAGGCUUUCAUUAGCUAACCAUACUUUAGUUGUUGGUCUGGAUCCUAGCCGUUCAUCCCUCAACCAGGAACCUUAACCCGUACUUAUUUUCUCGACCUGAGCUCAGG